Molecule: long non-coding RNA, 2501 nt
Filed under: Homo sapiens (human)
Lineage: Eukaryota; Metazoa; Chordata; Mammalia; Primates; Hominidae
Description: non-protein coding lnc-AVEN-1:2
Source: RNAcentral
ACAGCUUUCAAUUGUGCUGAAAGGGAAAAAGAAGUAGGGCAAUAGUUGGAAGUAAAAGUGGGGCCACAGAUUUUUCUUUGUUUAGGAUUAAAAAAAAAAAAGCAUAUUUAUAUGGUGAUAGAAGAAGUCCAGUAGAGAAAGAGAAAUUGCUGGAGGUAUGUGUCCCGGAUGGAAUCCAAUCACAGGUUGAGGGGCUGGCCUUUUGCUAGGAGCGGGAAUUGUCCACAACACACGUCUAUCACACAUGGGAGAGACAGAGUCUAUGGACAAAGGUACAGGCUCAUGGGGACUCCUGGAAGUUCCUUUCUGGUUACUCUUUUUCCAGCAGAGACUGAACUAUAUGACCUAAUUGGCUUUAUUUACGCUACAGCUGCCAUUACUUUUGUUAACCAAGAAUACUCACAAGUAGUUGGCUAAGUUGUGCUCUUGUAAUGUAUGUGUUUCAAAACCAUGAGGGGUUGUGUCAAAGUAGUCAUUGCCAAUCCCACAGAUGAAACAUUUAGUCUAAGAAAAAUAACAGGCAGAAAAGGCAUUUGUUGGCAUAAUAUAGGCAGGAGAGAAAACUGUCAUGAUUCUAUCGAAUUGAAGGAUAAUGAAAACUUUCUUUCUAAUGCUUUUGGCUAUUAGUCAUUCACUCAGUAGUGCCAUACAUUGGCUAUUAGUCAUUCACUCAGUAGUGCCAUACACUUAGCUCCUGAUUAGCUGAGGAUACUGCUCCCUCCUAUUGUGGGACAGUGGAGGAGGCAGCAGAGUGGCCGGCCUGGCAGGGGUAUGGCAGGGUGCAGAGAACAGGGCAUGGAAAACAAACUGCGUUCUUGCUUAGUACUGGCCCUAAGUAAUAGUAAAACCUAUUGUUUAAAAAAUCUAUUUGCUUCUGGGGAUAUUAAAAUAGAGCUGGGAUUAGUAGUUAGAGUAACAUUACCUCCAUAUCUUCUCGUACUUGUUCCUGCUGGUCUCUUAGCUCUCCGAAAGCAUCAAUAAUAAGACCUGGAAUGUUAAAUACAAAGACAAAGCAAUCUGUGUAGUGGUUCAGGGGUAGAGGAAUGAUAAAGGAAGAAGCUACUUUGUUCUGUUAAAAAAAAAAAGUGAAUUAUCAAAGCAAAAUUAGAAAAAUAAUACUCGUGUUUCUUUGUGUUACAUCCUGGCUAACAAUUUCUCAUUGUUCCUCCUAACUCUACCUUUCUACACCAUGCAGUGCUGUUAACUACUUGCUCCUCCCUGAAACUCUUUCCUUUCUACUUCUCCCUGGUUGGUCUCCUAUUUUGCUUAGCUAUUUGUGUUCAGUCUGUGUGAUAGGCUCUCCCUCUUCUCCUAGCACCUCUGACACUGAGGUGGAUCAGGGUUCCUCCUCAGUUACUUCACUUCUUAGCCCUCAACACCUGCAUGUCUUACAGGUUCCUCCACUCAGCAUGACUCAAGCUAAAUUUAUCAUCUUUCUCCAAUCUUGACAAGCUGUUGACUAAAAUAUCAUUCUUUCCCUCCCCUCCCCUGCACUGUCCAGCUCCUCUGCUCCUACCCUACCUCCCUCUCUGGGAAGAAAAUGAAGAGGACAAGACUAGCCACAGGAGAGAUCUCAGAAGCAGAAGUGAGGAGUAAAUAAUUCAGAGUAGAGGAACAGAAGGAAGGGGUUCCUCUGUAUGGAUGAAGCUUCUUAUAACUGUGCCUGGGUGUGUAUUUGGCUUUAUAUAUAGCCAAAGCCUCAGGUAUAGUAGAUGCUAAAUUAGUUCUUGCUAAAUUAACAAGUAAAUGAAUUCACACGCUUCUUCAUAAACCAAUUAAGUCAUAGAUGGAAGAAAGCAAAAAGAACUAGAUUAAACCCUGUUCAUACUCAACACAAUUGGCAAUCAUACCUUGAAUGAUGGCCAGCAAGAUGACAAUGACGAAGAAGAAAAAGGUAAUGUCAAAGACAAUGCGAUACAUUUCAUAAGGAUCACCAGCAGGGUCUUCAAUUUCAUCACCAAUGCCACCUCCUGCUCUCACUCCCACGUACAUGUGGAAAAGGUUUGAGCCAAUCUAGGCACGGGCUCCCUGAGCAGGGCACCCUCUGUCUCUCCACCUGAUGGGUUGAUUAGACUCACAGAGAAAGGACCGUCUUACACCUGGAAAAUCAAAAGCCAGGGGCAGCCUGAAGACACGCUGGUCAUGCCAGUACUCUAGGGGCUAGGAUUGCUGUCUCAUGACGGUGCUUGGCCCGAGAAAGCACAUGGAGAGUUUUUCGUCAAGAAGUGUUACCUCUUUUAUGGAGAUGCUCACAGACUGGGCAUUUCACUGUCCCCUGUCCCUGAGACACAGAUUCUUUUUCUGAAAUCUGGUCAAAAUAAACUGGCGAUGUUGCUGCAGCCAAGCUGGCUUACUCUGGGCAGUGCCUUUUUUCUCACGAAGAUCUGGCCUGACGGGACUCCCCCUCCCCACCUCCAACCUGAUCCUGCUGCUGGCUGUCCGCAAAGAACCUCCGACUGGCUUGCUGAAAUAAAUCAAGUGCUUAAUCCCGGUCCAUGGGA